Molecule: long non-coding RNA, 13243 nt
Filed under: Coffea arabica (coffee)
Lineage: Eukaryota; Viridiplantae; Streptophyta; Magnoliopsida; Gentianales; Rubiaceae
Description: long non-coding RNA (CARA_LNC004052)
Source: RNAcentral
UUUUUUUUUUUUUUUUUUUUUUGUUGUCAUUCCUGCCUAAAGAUGUUAUCGUUCUUUACUAAAGAAUUGUCAAAGUAGGGUAAACCGUGGGUGUCCUUUUGUCAGCAUUUCUGGAUUAACAACAAUAUAGGUGAGCAUGGACGGAUACACCCACAGACGCAUUUGUAGAAACGUGUAUAUCCAAAUAUGGGAGUGCAGGAGAUCCAUCUAUAUGUUUCUUUUGUAACUUUGCUUUUAACUUUUGACUUGGCUACAAAAGUACAAAAUGGUAAAGCAUUAGGUACUUUUUUUUUUUUUUUUUUUAAUUUUGGAAACGUAGUCCUAAUGUUAUUAGUAUAAAAUAGUGGCAACUAGCGAGGUGUUUAUAGCUAGGAAAAAUUGAACUAAAAGAAAAAUGAACGACUUGGGGUGAAAACGAGUCUAUGAACAAAGAUGAGAAGAUCCAACUACCUAUAUUUCUUGUAGUUUUUUCUUUCAUGGCCAUAUUAUUUUAAGUUCCCUCGACUAUCUUAAAACGUAGCAAUUACAAAUUUUCAAAGCUAUUCAGAAACUUGUACUGAAUAGAAACUGUUCAUAAUUGUUCUUUGCUGCACCAACUUGCUCCAUCGAGCAAUUGAGUUUUAUUGGGGACUAGUAACAGUACAACAGUGUAAUGGUCAAUACCCAAAUGAAAGUAAAACAAUAAUACCAAAACUGAUCCACAUAGCUGAAAAGCUAGGCAUAGAUAAAGUUAGUGAAAAAACAUGGAGGCAAAAAACUUCCUUUAUACCUUUAAGAAUAGAAUUCUGCCAAUCGAUCCGACCUCAAGAUACAAGACAGACUUACCAGCAGCUAACAGAUAAUCCCUUGUGUAUAAAGCCAAAAUGAUUAUUGAUUUGUGGGUACUUAUCAGAUGGGGACUUCAAACGCGACAUCUGUUGAUUAUCUUUGAGGUGUAAAAAAAAAAAAUAAGAAUCCUCUUUUGUAAUUUUACUGUCCUAUCCCUUUCCUUUAAUCCAGAAUGAGGUAUGUCAUCUUGUUUACAAUCUUUAGUAGUUCUCCAAAAUAGCUGAUUUGUGGAAUCAAUCUCCAUUGUGUGUGUGUGCGUGUGUUUUUUUUUUUAAGUUAGAUAACAAAAAAUGAAAAAAAAAUUGGUUUAAAUAAGUAAAGUUGAAUUAAACAUUCAGCUUCAUAAAAAGUUAACUGCCAAUUUUCUCUCCUUAACUUUUUUACUCCUUUAUAUACAUGAAAAAUUGAUCAAUCUUCUACUAAUGUUUAUCCAGAGCCGGCCUGAACUAAAACUUUCCAUAUGCUUUCUGCAGACUGCCUUCUAAUUUUUUUUUUUUAAAAAAAAGACCCUCCUAACACGGUUAAUGGUUUCCCCCCACACCCCCCCCCUCCUCCUCGCUAGUUAUAUUAGAAGCAGGAUUUCCUUUUUCUAAAACUGCACAAGCUAAGUUUUGCUACUGUUCUAGAAGACUAGGAACUUAUGCGUGUGUCUUAUUCGUCCCAUCCGUUUGCUCUUUCUUGUUAAUUCUAGAAGACAUUGACGUGAAACAAAAGUAGCACUUAGUAUAGUAAGUAAUCACGCACUUCACUCUUAUAUUAGGUUUCACACUAUAAAUACAAACAUUGACAUUUAUUGACCCCCAAAUAAAUGCAAAUACAGUUAUUUACACAAACCCUUUUUUUUGCAUGCAUAUCCACCAACUUUUCCCCUAGAUUCUUUUCUGACAGGACAUACAAUAAAUAUAUCUAACUGAAACACAUUUUUUCUUUCUUUAUUAAAAUGUUCUUGAUAUCAUCUUGCUCUAGAAGCAUUUGAUCCAGCCAUUGUCCUGACCUCUUGUUCUUUCCCUUCUUUUCCCCCAGUUGACUAAUACGCGGCUUAAAUACCUACCCGUCGUCUAGACAUGCAUAUUUAUUAAAUCCUCCCCAACAAGAAAAUCAUCAUUUGCGUCCACCAAGCAUUUUAUCCUUCUCCUUUCUUAUUACACUACUCUCCAAUUCUCAACCAAAAUGGAUGAUGAUACCAAGAACAAAACUCCUCAUCUCCAAGAUGAUCACCAUCAGCUAGCUGCGGCAGAAACAGAAGAAGCAGAUGAAGCCCUUUCCCUUAGCGGGCUUAUCUUAAACUCGGAUGAAAUCGAGGUCCAAGAUCGAAGAAGAUCAUCCUUUUCUGAUCCAUCAGAGCUUUUCGAGUUCUUGAGCGACAAAAACUCCCAGAUGUCGCAUGCAGAAGAUAUCAUUUUCUGCGGUAAGCUUAUGCCAUACCAAGAAAACCCCUCUCGUCUGCCCAAUGCUCACAAUUUCCACAAGCAUCAUCAACUCACCAGACAUGAGAAACAACAAAGCUUCCAUCGUAGAAGAUCCGAGUCGUUAAGUGACCUAAAAACCAGCCUGUCCAACAGUGCUAGAAGAAACCAGCAUCAGUUCAUGAGGGCUAGCCGGUCUUUAGACUGCCGAAAGUUGUAUGGAAACAAGUACAACUCCCCCUCGGCAGCGGGCGGUUUCGCCAGGGCUGAAAAAGUAGAGAUUGAGCGGAGCUCGUCGACGAGAAGUUCGAACAAGGGUUUUAAUGCCACUGGGAUGAAAGAAAAGACUGCAAGACCAAGGUGGUACAUGAUGUUUGGGCCUGUGAGGUUUCCACCGGAGAUGGCUUAUCAAGAUAUAAAGAGCCGGCAAGUGCGGCAGAGUCCCGGAAGUUUGUUUACGUCAUUGGAGUCCCGCGAGAAGGCCAUUGUGAACCGGCCGCAAGAUCGGAGAUGGUCGGGCUCUUGGGAUUUGCUUAGGGUAUUAAGCUGCAAGGGCCAUGCAAGUGUAGCUGUAACGGCGUCGUUUGGCUGCCUGCAGGCGCAGCACAGUAUUUGAAUAGUUGACAUUGCCUCUGUCAUGUGCGUACCUCACGUGACUACUAAUACUUUGACAUAAUUGUCCAUGGGGGACGUGGAUGGAACUGGCUGAUUGGGCUGUGAAGAGGAAGGGCAAAAUGGGGUGUCUAGAAAGAGACAUCACGUAGAAGAGAAGAUAGUGUACUGUGAGACCACAUGGUUAAUGAUGAUCAUGACGCCUCAGAUGUAAUGAAGAAGGGUAGAAUAUUUUGUCCUCCAAUUUGUGUAGGGCCAUUUGAAAAAAUUAAUGGGGAUCACGGGGUCCCAAUGACGACAUGAAUUUGGUAUUUAUUUUGGGGAGUACAAUUUUUAAAUUUCUAACUUAUUAGGGGAAUUUUUCCAGCCUUGGCAGUUUGUUAUUUGGAAUGUUUGUGUGUUCUUGAAGUCGGCCAUUUUUUUUUUUAAAAAAAAAUCUAUUGUGUAUGGAUGUAAUUUGUCCUUCAAGUACAGUACUACAAAAAUUAUAGAGAUAAACGUUCUCAUCUCAAUUCCAACUUGAGAUAGGAAAACAAGUAGCAGCAGUAGAAUAUUUAAAUAACGAGGUUGCUGUAUAUUGCCAUGCGCUAUAUGGUGAUUGUUGAGCCUUUACGCAUUCUUGCGAUAAAAUUAUACCUCUGAUUUGAGCACUAAUGUUUCAGUGAGGUCCAGAAAGGCAAAGGUAAUAUUUGUCGAAAACCAUGAUUUAGAAAAGGAGCUUAUAGUACAUCAUAUAAACCGACAACUACAGAAAAAACUACAAAGAUGUCCCCGAAGACGGAUAUUCACAAGGACAUAAGUGAAAAUUUCUAGUGUUUGAAGGGGAUAAAAGGUACUUUCAAAAUCUUGGGACGCAGAAACUAAUUCCUACAAGAACAUAUGAAUAAUAUUUACAGUUAAUUUCUUAAGAAAUAUAGAACUGCUGCUGAUGAUGAUGCAAGUAAAAUAAAAAGAUAGUUGAAAAACGUGCUGAUGAUGCAAGUAAAUAAAACUCGGUAAAUAAUUCAUUAAUUGUUACUUUGACAGUGGCCUUCAUAUUAUUGUCUUCCUUGAUCAAGUAAUAUGUGAUCCUCGAUCGUUUAUCUCAUGCAAAAUGUCUAGGGCUGGUGGGGUGAGUGGUGAUGGGUAUACGGGUGAUGCCUGUGAACACUUUAACAGAAAAAUCUCUGUUCAGCACGAAAAUGAACCCAUUCAUUUCAUUGUCAAUGGAUCUGCAUUAGCAGCCUACCCCUUCAUAAUUCACCAUUGACGUCAGUGCUGUUAUCCUAUUAUCUUCGUCAUGAAGAUAGACAGAAUAAAGGUCGAAAUCCCUAAAAGUUAAUUAAAUAGCACUAGAUUUAACUUACAUAAUAAACUGUUGUUUUCAUUCUAAGUAUUUUUCACGUAAUUUUGAAAUGUCACAUGUUUCACCAUUUUCAGGAAUUAUGUAUAAGAAACGUAUGGUGAUCAUAUAGAUCGUAGGACCAAAUAUGAGUACUACAAACAACGUGCAAGGAACAUAUUUUAGACCCCCGUCCUACGUUAAUUGGCCAAGUUAAUUAGAUCCAUUUGAGUAACAAUACUCUCUGGCAAUAUUGUUAGACUUCAUAUUCUGAAGUUUUAUUCAUGAAAAUUUGGAUCGAAGUUUAUUUCCAAGAUAUUAUUUGCUUCCAUUUAGAAACAUGUUUUUCAAUCAAUCAAUUUAUUUUUUCAACUACUUUUUUAUCUUGUACACAUCACAUCAUAAAAAAUAUUACAGUAAUUAUUUUACAUAUAUAAUCUCAUAUCCAAACAAAUGUUGUCAUAGGGUUUUAAUAUCUCCAAUUUUAGUGACUUAACUUUUGUAUUUGGGUGAAAAGUCUGGAGUUGAGUAGCUGGGACAUGUGCAUAAUCGCGUGCACUAGAAGUUUUUGUACCACAUUAAACAGUUUGGAUGCCUUCUUCAGUUUGAAAUUCUACAGCAAACCAAUUUGAUAGUGAUUGGAUAGCCAAUCAACCAACGAGACUUCUUAUGAUGUAAUGUAUGCGAGAUAAAACGGUAGUUGAAAAAUAUAUUAAGUGAAUACGAGGUCUCCACAAUAUCCAGAAAAAGUUUUCCACAAAACUAACAAUCAAAACAAGCAAAGUGGGAAAAAACAAAAAAAUUUUGUUACUAAAAGUUUAUAAAAACCAAUUCAAGAGCAUUAUGUAGAAAGCUAACAGUAAGGUGCGUGGCGUACUUUUCUCUUGCGGUUGAAACAUCCAUGAUUUCCUUUUUGCUGGCUUAAUUUGCUUCAAUGAGUAACCGAGCAUUAUGUUUUGCUUCACAUUGAAGCUUGUUCUCCGUUGAUAUUUCUCUCUUCAUCUCUUUUAUUGCAUUACAGCUCAACUACCCUAGUAAUUAAAGUGUCGUGCAUCUUUAUAAUGACGGGACAAAGAAAAACAUCGGAAGUGAUAAACUAAAUAGUACGCUCUAUGUCAAUUGUCAUGAAAAAAAAAAAAAUCAAGACAUUCGUUACUACACUUCACUUAUCUGCAUUGUUUGGAUUGUAGUUUUCUAUCAAAAUUCUUUUUCAUAAAUAUAUUUUUCAAUCAUCUUUUUAUUCCACGCUCUAUGUAGUAUAUGUAUGUAUGCUUUUGACAAGAUUUAUAUAUUGGAACUUCAUUUAAAUAUGCACAAGAUUUUAACACUCUCUUAAUUUUUGUUUGAAAACUAAAAUUUUUUUAAUAAACAUGUUUACUUUUUUAUUAUACAAUCAAUCUUUUUAGCUUUCAAACUGACAAUAUUUGAAUAGUUAGAAAACUAUUUUGUUCUAAAACAUAAAUAAAAUAGUGAUAAAUAAUGCUAUAUUUUUAAAACCAGUGACAUAUUUUUGUUUUAUAUUUGACUAUAUUAUUUAUUUAUGUAAAAGUAAGAUAAAAUUAAAUUAAAUCUUCGAUUAAUACCUAUAUAAUCAUUAUAUAUCUUUCUAAGUGCAAUAAUUACAGUCUAAAAGCAUUUUAUUAGAUAUUUUAUGUAUAUUAAAAUUACUAUCUUAUAUUUAUAAAUAUUAAAUUAAUACUUACCGAUUCAUUCACUAAUUGAACCAGUGACCAAUUGACUCAAUUCCUUCGUGGGAGCCCUUGUCCCACCAAAUUUAAUAACUAUGGUUUUAGCAACCCUAGCCAGCCCACAUUCCUUUUUUUUUUUCGGGCUAGACUAAUUCCACUCCGGCCUGGAAAAGGAGGUCCCACUCCACUCCAAGCACAGUAACAAGGGGGCUCGAAUCUUGAUUGUCCAGAUAAAUCUAUCAUAUUCUAAAGAGAGAAAGCUGACCGCUCGAGCUGAUCCUCGUGUACGUUAAUUUUGUAGUAUGACAUAUGGAAUGCGCAGAAGACUCAGAACGGAUAGGAUGUCACGCGAUUUGCAUGAAAUGAGGGUCUGCUAACGUUAAAUGUGAACAGAUAGCGUCCAUUUGACGGACUUGUCAGCUGGGGACAAGUCAAGGAGGUCAGCUUAAUUUGGCACCGGUACUUUUGGUUUAAUUCUAGUGUGGACAGAUGCAAUACUACAAAAAAUGAGGUCAUUUUUUCAUUUUGACCUAGCUCCAAUCCAUCAGUCUUAAGAGCAACAAUGGCGUAUGUUAAAAGAGAAUUUAAGAAUUCACCUAGUACUUAAAUGGAAAAAUUCAUAUCAUUAGAUUUCAAAGUGAAUAAAUUUACUCAUUAAGCUGUUAUAACAUAAUUUUUGUGUUUUUUUUUUCUAACAACUGAAUGAGGUUCAACUCUGAUCUGUGCAUCUAAGAAAACUCUAAGAAUUAACUCAUAAGGAUACUUGCCAGUGUUGGGUGCGUUGGGUUAAUUUCAUUUUGUACCCUUGAACAAUAUCCGAAUUUUCACUUUGAUUUCUAAAUUUCAAAAUGGGACGCAUUAGUUUAAUCCCUAUAUUAUAAAAUUUGUCAUAUUUAAUCCGUAAAGUAUAGUACUUUUGCCCAAUUUAGUCCCCAAAGUAUACCCGCUAAGGUAUAAAAUCUGUCCCACUUCCUUGAGUAAGACAAAUUUUAUAGUGUAAGAACUAAAGUGUCUUAUUUUAAAGUUUAGGAAUUAAAAUGAAAAUUUGGAAACAGUUGAAGGGGUGCAAAAUGGAAUUAACCCGGGUACGCUUGAUUGAUUAGUUAUCCAUCCUUAAGAAUGGAGGGGCUUUCAUGCCUGCAUCAUUCACGUCAAACUUCAUGAGAGCCGGACUGGGUUUGUAUUAUUUGGGGCUUCCAAUAGUUAUGACCAAUAACAAAAUUACCCAAUUAGAGACUCCAUCUUCUUCCUAUAUUGCCUAAAAAAUGAAAGGAAACAAGAGUACAGUGGUAAAAGAGCAUGAAACUCAACAACUAGAAGCACAAGAUAACCAUCUAGAAUGCCAGGCAUCCAAUUUAGAAAGGGAGCAUGCAGCAAGUUAAAGGUAAAACAAGUAAAAGCAUGUGGUAUUUCAAAAUAAUGCAGCAUAUACCAUCCACAGAAUUUGUUUACUAGAGAUGAGCUAAAAUAUCUACCAUGAAAAUACACCAAGAUUAAGGAGCUAAUUCAAUACAAUGCAAGAAAAGUAGCAAUGUGUCCAUAUAAAACACUAAUGGAGACAAUAACACCUCUUUUACAGGCAAAAAGUGGCCAAGAGUCCAAGAUUCGACAUAAACUUUAACAGGUUCCUUUACUCAAAGUCUCCUACACAGAAACUGUGUUCUCAUGUUGACCAGUUAUAUCAUACAGUGCUAAAUAUAAAUCAUUGGUGCAGAAAAGUCGGUUUUUGGGCUCAUACUCCCAUUGAGAGCCAUCACGGGACAUGACUCCUAUACCAGUAUGUGAUAUACAUAAAUGUAAGUACCAUUCAAUGCUGAGACAACUAAUACAAAAUUUAGACUAACUUGGAUGCACCACUUGACCAGUAUAUAUCUCCACAAACAAUAAAAGAAUUUAAGUAGCUGCAGAUAUCCUAAGAAAAACCCAGAAACUUGGAUUGCCAUUGGAAAAAAAGAAGUCAACAACUUCAAGAUAAAUGGCAUAUCUCUGAUUACAUAAAGAAGCAAGAAUCAGGGAAAAUCAAGUCAAAGGGUGGUUCCUUGGUUUCUCAUCAUCAUCUUCUUCUUCCUCCUUUUUUCACUUCUCAGAAGAAAAUUUUGGACACUCAAAUGACAGUAGAAACUACUACGGGAAGCAUACACAUCUUAUCAAAUGGACCGAGCUAUGGCUCUAACAUUUCAAACAUUAAAGAUGAAAAAUUGAAAUCCUGAAAAAUUAGAUCAGCAGCAAAAUAAAUCUUUCUUUAGGGUGAUUAAAAUUAAAAUCUUUCCUAAGAUGAGGGAGUACAAAGUAAUCAACUGUUUAAGAAUAAGUAGCAAAUAGAUCUCUAGAUUUUCUCCCUACUUUGAGAAGAGUUUAAUUAGCACAUUCAUUUGUAAGCUUGAAACCAUCUUAAGAGUUAUUCUAUUGGCAUUAUGUCACCUCAUAAUCUUCAAGUAUUCAUUUCAUUGACUCACAUGGAGCAUGUACAACAUAAAAGCAACUGCCGCAUAUUUUCCAAAAAUGCAUCGGAUAUAAAAGCAUAGCAGCAAUGCAAGAACAAACAUGUGAUGGCUAAUCGAGGUCCAAUUCAACAAGAAACUUAUAUUGAUAGCGAUUUUCUAUCUACGUUCAGUAAUUUAAUUUUUCCGUCAUGUUCCUUGUACAUAUUUACUAUUUGCAGGUGUUAAGAUCCAGAUAGCAUGUAUUUUAAUUGGAAAAGCACGUGAAACAGUAUGUAUACGCUCAAUUACACAAAGCAAGUGCCUUAACAAUGUUUGAACAGAAUAUUUCCUGUCAGAAUGGUGAAUCAAGGUUACAGGCAACUGAUCAGGAAAUGCUAUAGGGUAAAACAUCAUAAACUACAUAUCUCAGCAAACAUACAGGAAUGUAAAAGAAUUAAUUUUCUGCCGACCAGAAAAAUAAAAACCUGAAAAAGAAAAACAACCAGUUUCAUGCUUAAUUGCACAUGUAAACCCCACUUGCAAACCUGUCAUCCACCUCAUAAAAAUCUGUCUUACCCUCAGAAGCAGGACGCAGAGAAAUUCCAGACAAAGAUUUACUUCCUUGUCCUGAAAAUUUAACAUGGCAAACCACUUCAAAAUCUAUAUCAUCAUCUUCAUCACCAAUAUCCACAGGCAUCCUCACUCUUAAUCUACCAGGAUUGCCCUUAAGGGGAAUCUCAGGAACAUGCCAUUUGAUUUCCUUCUCAGACCUAUUCAAGACUGCUUUUGGUGAAACCUUCAACAGUGUUGGGUCUACAGGCAGUUUCAGGACAAAUGUCACAUCGUUCAGCGGUGCUGGUAAAUCUGGAUUUGACACAUAUUGUAUCAUUACAGAAAGUAAAGUCCCACUGAGACGUUUGACAAGUCUAACCCUCAAAGGCAAUGGAGUCAAACGUGGUAACAAACUAUACUUGACAAUUGGAAUAGGUUCUCCUGAUGGAGCAGUCCUAACAUGGAACAAACCAUUUCCAAGGCUACUUACACGUGAGCUUUGCAGUACAAACCUCUUAACACUGCCUGUAUUCUCAACUUUAAAUGAAAACUCAGUCUCUCUAUCAUCAGAAGGCUUUGGAGGUAAUGUCCUCAAGUAAACAACACCCGUCAAUCCAACUCUAGCAAGCAAUGAUUCCCUGAACUCUGCACUAAUCUCUUCUGCAAUGUACAUUUCCGGACCCUUCAUUUCAGUUUUCUUUACCAACACAUCCUCGAGAUUCUUACCAGCACCGUCAGCAGCAGCUGCAGCAGUCUUGACUGGCGGAUCACUAGUUUCUAACAAUUCAAGCCCACCAAGCCCCUCAUGUUUCUUGACCUUCUUUGACUCCACAUAAUCAGAAGCAUCCAAUCCCCCACCCCAAGCAUCACUAAACCCUUCGAAGUCUUCGCGUAACGUUGACCCGUCAUUGCUAAACUCAAUUCCGCCAUAGUUCCCUUCAAAGCCUUCAACACCUAUAUGCGUGGACUCAGUAGCCGCAGCAGGUGGCAGUGUAGUAACCUCAAGCCCCGCCAAUGCCUUAGUCAAAUCUGAACUCUGAUCCUUGUCCUUCUUAAACCCUUCCACAAGAGACGCAGGCUGGUUAAUCUUCUCACUGGCUGCAAAAGGAUCCUUCUCUUCCUCCUCCUCCUCUACCUCACCUUCUUCCUUCUCAUCACCCUGACCACCACUGAACGCCAUCGUGGCAGCCACUUCAUCCCCAGCCUCCAAAGUCUCCUGAGGCAAUUCAAACACAGCCUUGGAGAAUGCUUCCAAGCCACCCUCAUGUUCCACAGAAUGCACCUCUAAAUUAACCCAACUAUCCGCCCCACGGAUUUUAUUCUCCGUAUUGAUAGCAGAAUGCACCAUUUUAGCAAUGCUAUCACCGUGCAUGGUGGCAAGCAUUGCCGCAAGCCUAAUGCUACUCACACCCCUCAAAACUAUAUCCAAAGCCAUAUAAAUUUCAGCAUAUUUCUUACUUAACUUCUCAGGGGUAACAUCUACACCCCGGCAAGCCGUGACAACAACACUAACAGCCUGAUUAACAAUACUAAUGCAUUCAAAAACAUUAUUAUUGGUCUCAUCAGCAGUAGUAAUUCCCAAAACAUAAAUUGAAUUAACUAAACGGUAAACGACCCGAUACCGGCUUUCGACGCCCACAAUCACUUGACCGCUCGAGGCGGCAAGUGGGUCGUCACCGAGGGAUGAAGGGUCGGCGGAGGAGUUGUCAGAAUUGGAGGCGACGGCAGCGGAUUGUUGUUUAGAGGAAAAUGCUAAGCGGGUUUUGCGGAAUGCUGAAAGGGCCAUCAGGGCCCGAGAUGGGGGAAACCAUUCACGGGUUUGGAGCAAAACGUCGGGCCCAUUUGUGGGUUGAAGGGAUAGUGCUAAACAGGACAUCGGGGUUUAAUCUGGAUUGGAUCAGAUCUUACGAGGUUUUUCCUUUGUAUAAUUCUUUUUGAGUUUGGAAAUGAAAUCAAAGGUAAUGGGGAUUGAAUACUUACUUGAAUGAGAAUUUGAGCUGGGUAUCGAUGAUUUUGGAGCUUCCUGUGAUGAUUGUUUGUUUAUUACAGAGAUCGGAGCUCUGGUGCGUAUGAGAGAGAGAGAGAGAGAGAGGUGAAAGAGGAAAGGCAGAAGGAAUGGACCCGGGUAGACGAACCUCAAAGAAGGUUUGGGCUGGGCUGAAAGUUGGAUCUUUGGGUGGGUUGGGGUAAAUUUAGGUUAUACAAUCAUUGGCUGAUUUUCUCCCCUUUUUUUUUUUGUGAUAUAAUUGAAUCAAUUCUUUUCACCUUAUUAUUCAAUCCAACCCUUCUUCUUAUUUAAUCCAACCCUUCUUCGAUUUUCUUCCUUUUAUAAUGUCGUUUUUCUUUAAAAGUUGAUAAUUUGGUUAAUUUAUUUUACUCGUCUUCCUUUUGUUCAAAUGAACCGCAAAGAGACUUUUUUUUGGUUGAAAAAAAAAAGAAAUUACAAGAACGUGUUUUUUGGUACAAAAAGUAUUGGUUGAAAAAAUUUUGAACGAUUUUGGCUCUAGUCAUAAGUAGAUUCUAGUUAGUGACCAUUGAAGUGUGCUUAAUCUACUCUCUCUUUCUUUUUUUACUCGUCUCGGGCAUGCGAGUUUUUGUGAAAAAAUAGUCCGAUCUUACCAACUAUAAAGCAUGUUAAAGGUACAAAAUGUCUCUAUGCACUUUGAAUUCAGUCCUUUUUGUGCAUUUUCAAUUAUGGAACUUAGAUCAUGGGUUUGGGCCAAGUUAGUGAAACCUUGAACUACUUUGCCUUAAUUGGCCUUCAGGGUCAGUGGAUCUAUUUCCGGCGCAACAGUACAUUUGAAAGAGACUGGUGUACUCUCUGUACAAAUAAUUGUACAUCUCAAGAAACUUUUCCCGAGCUGGAAAGCCAGUACUAAAUGAUUUACGAACCCUUUGGCGCCUUGCCUAUUCAAAAUUCCAAAUGCGGUACCACCAAUGAACCCAGCAGCCCUCCUGCAACACCCUCUUCCCACCCGCACCACGAAAUGCACCACCGGUUGCCCAAUCCUCGACAGCUUCUUACACGGCGGCAUCCCUUGCAACUCAAUUACAGAGAUAGUCGCCGAGAGCGGCUGCGGCAAAACCCAAAUCUCCCUCCAACUCCUCCUCUCUGCUCAACUUCCGACCUCCCUCGGUGGUCUCUCCGCCUCCUCGCUUUACCUCCACUCCGAGUUCCCCUUUCCCUUCCGCCGCCUCCACCAGCUUGCCCUCUCAAACCCCACUCUCCAAAAUCCGUUAGACAAUAUACUAAUCCAUCCUUUACAUUCUGCGGACCACCUGCUCGACUUAUUGUCCCGCCUGGAUCCCCUCCUUGUACACCCACCACCGCAGACCCGUCUCCCUAUUAAACUCAUUGUUAUUGAUUCCAUUGCUGCUUUGUUUCGUUCUGAAUUUGAUAAUAACCCGAGUGAUUUGAAGAGGAGGUCGGGUUUAUUCUUUAAGAUUUCGAGCAAGCUCAAGGCACAGGCAAUGCGGUUUGGACUGGCUGCGGUGGUUACUAAUCAGGUUACGGAUAGUGUCGAUUCUUCGGAUGGAUUGAGGAUUGGGAACUCUUGGUUUCUUUAUUCUUCUGGGAGGAGGGUCUGUGCUGCACUUGGGUUAUCUUGGGCUAAUUGUGUGAAUACAAGGCUCUUCUUAUCGCGAGAUGAGGAAAAUGUUAAAGACGAUGAUGGUGACAUUGUCAAUACAAGAACGAGGACAAGGAGAUUCAUCAGCGUUGUAUUUGCGCCGCAUUUGCCUCAUUCAUCAUGUGAGUUUUUUAUUGCAAAAGAAGGGGUUUUGGGGUUUGAUAGUUGCAAUGACUUCCAUUUAGAAAAUAGAGAGCUCUAAUGAUGCAAAAGGUGAUGAUAAAAGAGGCAAAUCUGGGUUUUCUUCCCUUGUCUUUUUUACUUUAAUUUUUCUCUGUUUUGUAAUUAAUGCGAUCGGGCUGAAGAAAAAUGUAAGAGAAGUUUUGCAAUAGACUGGGGAAAAUUUCCCACUGUUGUGGGUUUUGUACAGCAUGUAAAAUUUCAUUUAAUUUGUGAGACAUCAUUCCUCUUUGCUCGAGGUAUUCUCUGAAUCUGUGAAUUUCUGUAAUGCAUUGACAAAUAACAUGGAAUUUUUUUUUUAAGACCCCGAAAAUGGUAGUUUUCCUAACGAUAAUCAAUAAAUAUUCACAGAGAACACUGAAGUGAGAGGCACUUGAUUACAUUCAAUUUACCAACUGAAGAACUGCAUUCGAUCUGCUGAACCAGUAUGUUGCAUACAAUGUGAAAACCUCUAUUAUAAGGACUAAAACAACCACAUGACUUAAAUUCUAUCGAUAUUACGCCUCAUAUUUGAAGCUCAGACUGAAUGGCUGUACUUUGUCCAUGCCCCAUACUCGUUCAACAUUUUGGAACUUGUGUUGAAGUCCCCAGGAUCUCUGCUAGU